GCCUAAAACCUAACCUACACAUACUCGCAUGAACUCUCUUCCAUAAUCCCUAAAUAAAACAUUUUAUUAUUAUAGUACAGGUGAUCGAAAAAUUUCUAAGCGCUUCAGAUAAAGUACCGCAAGGGAAAGAUGAAAUAGAAUUGAAAUAAUCUUAAAGCCUUAAACAGUAGAGAUAUUCCCUCGUACCUUUUGCAUCAUGGUCUAGUUAGUCUAUUCAAGCAAAAUGAAAAUUUUAGUUAGACACCCCGAAACUAAGGGAGCUACUUCAAAACAGCCUAUUGGGCCAACCCAUCUCUGUUGCAAAAGAGUGGGAAGAUUUUCAAGUAGAGGUAAUAAGCCUACCGAACUUAGAGAUAGCUGGUUGUUCAGGAAAAGAGUUUUAGCUCUACCUUAAGCUUCGUUAUGAUACUAAACAAAUACAAAAAGCUUAAGAGCUAUUCAAAUAAGGCACAGCUUAUUUGAAAUAGGAUACAACCUAUAAUAAUGGGUAAGUAAAAUUUAAUAAAAUGAAGUGGGCCUAAAAGCAGCCACCUUUUAAAAAGCGUUUAAGCUUAAUUAGAAUUAUUAAUAAUUUCCACAAUCUUUUCAAACCCUUUAUUCUUACUGAACUACUUUAUAAUUUUAUAAAAGCAAUAAUGCUAGAACUAGUAACAAGAAAUUGAUUUUCUCCUAAAUGUAAGCAUAAACCAAAAUGGACUCCCCAUUGGUAAUUAACGUCAAUGCAAAAUUAUAACAACACACUAGAAAACCUUAUAACCGAUAACGUUAACCUCACACUAGAACAUUUCAGGAAAGAUUAAAAGAGAAAGAAGGAACUCGGCAAAAUUUAGCCUCGCCUGUUUACCAAAAACAUCGCCUCUUGACAAAAUAUAAGAGGUCCAGCCUGCCCAGUGAUAUAAUUCAACGGCCGCGGUACCCUAACCGUGCGAAGGUAGCAUAAUCACUUGUUCUUUAAAUGGGGACUCGUAUCAAUGGCACCACGAAGGCUAUACUGUCUCCUUUCUCCAAUCAGUGAAACUGAUCUUCCCGUGAAGAAGCGGGAAUUUAAAUAUAAGACGAGAAGACCCCAUGGAGCUUUAAACUCACUAUACACCUCUGCAUCCUUUAAAUCCACCCACCCAAGAGUAUUGUAUACUAAUUUUAGGCUGGGGGGGCCUCCGAAUAAAAUUUAACCUCCAUAACAAAUGGGCUAACACCCUUAUCUACGAAAAACACCUCUAANAAUUAUUAAAAUAAUGUUAAAGACCCGAUAAUUCGAUUAAUGAACCAAGUUACCCUGGGGAUAACAGCGCAAUCUACUUCGAGAGUUCCUAUCGACAAGUAGGUUUACGACCUCGAUGUUGGAUCAGGGUAUCCCAGUGGUGCAACCGCUACUGAUGGUUCGUUUGUUCAACG
RNAcentral lists this ribosomal RNA (1395 nucleotides) under Lithobates sierramadrensis. RNAcentral's name for it is "Rana sierramadrensis partial 16S ribosomal RNA". It matches the Rfam family "Bacterial large subunit ribosomal RNA", at positions 267 to 2586 of the family's 2925-position model. Lineage: Eukaryota; Metazoa; Chordata; Amphibia; Anura; Ranidae. The record is from RNAcentral.